Molecule: long non-coding RNA, 2189 nt
Organism: Pristis pectinata (smalltooth sawfish)
Lineage: Eukaryota; Metazoa; Chordata; Chondrichthyes; Rhinopristiformes; Pristidae
Exons: 3
Source: RefSeq, a predicted model, not a curated record
GCGAUAUGGGUUAUCUACACUGUUUUGCUUCAAAUUAUCGUGGUUUCAAAUCACUUAAUUGCCGACAAACCACACUACAUGCUGUUGCUUUUGUGCAAGGAAUUUUUAAAAGGAAUUAAUUACACGAUAUAGGAGAAGAGAUGGAAUCGAUUAGAGACUGAAAAGGAAAUUGACUGAUGGAGGCAGAGGGCAUGACGGAUCUGUUCAAUGACUGCAUCGAUCUUUACCAAGAAAGAAGAUGGUAUGACAAAAGGUGUGAUUAAGAUUCUAGAAAAUCUGUUUUCAUCCUAUUGAACAAAAGUCACUUUGAAGGCAGGAAAAAUGAAUAACGCAGCAUCAAUUCAAGGAGUGCUAAGUCACGAAGGCCAAACCCAACUAAAACAUAACAAGGCAUUGGGAGUGGAUGAUAACCCCUCUAAAUGCCUACGGCUUGGAAGAGUUUCAGUCAUGAAUCCAAAAUCUCACCAUUCAAAUCUGGGAAGAGAAGGAUGUACCAGGUGACCUCAGAGAUGCUGCAGUCGGAGACAAGUCUGACUGUGAUCUCUGCAGAGGGGUCUGCUGCAGGGAGUGUCAUUACCUGGGUCCUUCUGAACUGGCUCCUUCCUGUGGCUGAGGAGCUGCACCCCAAUAGCAGCGUGGAUUCCAUCCAUCUGGGCACACAGUUGGCAUGAUCUUCACCAUGUGACAACUCCAAGAAAAAUGCAGAGAUCAACACCUGCCACGUUACUUUUUUUUCAAACUCACUGAAGCCUUUGACUCCAUUAAUCAGGAGAGAAUGUAGAACAUCUGCUUAAAAUUUGGCGAUCCACAGAAAUUCAUCUCCAGUUUACUUUUGCUGCAGGACGGCAUGCAAGCCAUGACCCUAACUGACAGAUCGACAACAGAAUGAAUCUGAGUGAAGCACCGUGUUAAGUAAGAUUGCAUCAUUGCCCCAACGUUCUUCCUAAUCUUUCCCACCACAAUAUUGCACCUCAUCUUCAACAAGCUUCCUGCAGAAUUGGAACCAAUCUUCAGAACUACAUGGAAGCUGUCCAACUAACAGCAUCUACAUUCCAAAACCAAGAUCACACAAAGCACAGCAGUCAGUCUCAGAAUACAGAUGACAUUUGCAUUUGUGCAUGCUCAGAGGCCAAGCUCCAAGCCAGUGGAGGCCUUUUCACUGAACCAUACAAGAGGAUGAGUCUUGCACUCAACAUGCACAAGACAGAAGUCAUCUACCAAACUGUUCCUGAUGCACCACACUGCUGUCUGAAAAUCAAGAUUCACCGUGAGACCCUGGAAAAUGUGGACCAUUCACUUAUCCCAGGAGCCACCUCUGAGUGAAGGCAGACGUCAGGCAUGUCCAUCACCAGCCUCUUGAACAGACACACUGUUCUAAGUUCUGUCACAGAAAGAAAUUACCAGCUAGACAGAGGAAAAGCUUCAAGAAUGUGUUGAAAGCCUCCUUAAAGAAAGGUAGCAUGCCCAUUGACUCCUGGGAAUCUCCGGCCCAUGACCACUUGAAGUGGAGAAGGAACAUUUGGAAUGGCAAGGAAUGCAACACUGCACAAACUCCCAACCCAGCUGCCCUUUUGGCCACUUCCUGUCCCAUUUGUGGAACAGUCUGUGGUCUUGUCUAGGUCACAUUAGCCACCUCAGAACCACAAAACUGGAGCGGAAGCAAAUUAUCCUCUAUCCAAAAGAAAAUGCCUGAGAAGAAGAGCAACUCUGCUCACUUAUACAUGAUACAGAAAAAAAGCCUGUCAGAGUUGAUAAGAUCGACAGAGAAACAUGUCGGUUCGAACAGGUGGCAUUAUCUGUGGAAAUUAUCUAUUGCGGAGUGAAAUAUUUAUUCUAAUUGUAAAAAAAAAUUGACCUUCAAAUCCACUUCAGGAUCGAUUCAUUUUGCAAUCCGGUGCACAGAGGACUGAAUGUAAAGAAUAAUAAUGGUUAAAAAUUUACAUUCUUAUUGCAGAAUCCUUUGUUGGAGAAUAUAAGAACAGCAAGCUGCAAACAAAAGUUUGAAAUCAAAAACAUUUAUUGGCAAAAUGUUACUGCUGUCACCACUGUAGUGUGUGCAAGAAUACUGACAGUUACAAAGAGAUUAACAAAGAAAACAUUAGUUUGUUGAGGUGGAAAGUACCAUCUGUUAGCACUGACCUGUUAGAAGCAAAUAUUUUUCAUUGUUAUUCUAAGGCUGCUAAAACAAC